RNAcentral lists this ribosomal RNA (224 nucleotides) under uncultured bacterium. Its description in RNAcentral is "partial 16S ribosomal RNA". It matches the Rfam family "Bacterial small subunit ribosomal RNA", at positions 30 to 249 of the family's 1533-position model. The record is from RNAcentral.
AUUGAACGCUGGCGGCAGGCCUAACACAUGCAAGUCGAGCGGUAACACAGAGAGCUUGCUCUCGGGUGACGAGCGGCGGACGGGUGAGUAAUGUCUGGGAAACUGCCUGAUGGAGGGGGAUAACUACUGGAAACGGUAGCUAAUACCGCAUAAUGUCGCAAGACCAAAGAGGGGGGACCUUAGGGCCUCUUGCCAUCGGAUGUGCCCAGAUGGGAUUAGCUAGG